UACGUAGGUGACAAGCGUUGUCCGGAAUUACUGGGCGUAAAGGGCGUGUAGGCGGCUAUUUAAGUCAGAUGUGAAAGCCCUGGGCUUAACCCAGGGACUGCAUUUGAAACUGGAUGGCUUGAGGAUCGGAGAGGGCAGUGGAAUUCCCAGUGUAGCGGUGAAAUGCGUAGAUAUUGGGAGGAACACCAGUGGCGAAGUCGACUGCCUGGACGACACCUGACGCUGAGGCGCGAAAGCUAGGGGAGCAAACGGG
This 253-nucleotide ribosomal RNA is filed under the name uncultured bacterium. RNAcentral describes it as "partial 16S ribosomal RNA". It matches the Rfam family "Bacterial small subunit ribosomal RNA", at positions 524 to 776 of the family's 1533-position model. The record is from RNAcentral.